GGAGAGUUGUCCGAGAGGCCUAAGGUGCGAAACUCGAAAUUUCGUGUUCCCCAGAAAGGAACCCAGGGUUCGAAUCCCUGACUCUCCG
Molecule: transfer RNA, 88 nt
Filed under: Lachnospiraceae bacterium
Lineage: Bacteria; Bacillati; Bacillota; Clostridia; Lachnospirales; Lachnospiraceae
Description: tRNA-Ser
Rfam family: tRNA
About the family: Transfer RNA (tRNA) molecules are approximately 80 nucleotides in length. Their secondary structure includes four short double-helical elements and three loops (D, anti-codon, and T loops).
Source: RNAcentral